RNAcentral lists this ribosomal RNA (497 nucleotides) under uncultured bacterium. RNAcentral's name for it is "partial 16S ribosomal RNA". It matches the Rfam family "Bacterial small subunit ribosomal RNA", at positions 28 to 507 of the family's 1533-position model. The record is from RNAcentral.
GAUGAACGCUGGCGGCGUGCCUAAUACAUGCAAGUCGAGCGAACAGACGAGGAGCUUGCUCCUCUGACGUUAGCGGCGGACGGGUGAGUAACACGUGGAUAACCUACCUAUAAGACUGGGAUAACUUCGGGAAACCGGAGCUAAUACCGGAUAAUAUAUUGAACCGCAUGGUUCAAUAGUGAAAGACGGUUUUGCUGUCACUUAUAGAUGUAUCCGCGCCGCAUUAGCUAGUUGGUAAGGUAACGGCUUACCAAGGCGACGAUGCGUAGCCGACCUGGGAGGGUGAUCGGCCACACUGGAACUGAGACACGGUCCAGACUCCUACGGGAGGCAGCAGUAGGGAAUCUUCCGCAAUGGGCGAAAGCCUGACGGAGCAACGCCGCGUGAGUGAUGAAGGUCUUCGGAUCGUAAAACUCUGUUAUUAGGGAAGAACAAAUGUGUAAGUAACUAUGCACGUCUUGACGGUACCUAAUCAGAAAGCCACGGCUAACUACGUG